ACCUGGGGUAUGGUGGCCGAGUGGGUAAAGGCUGUUUACUUGGAACCAAAGGUUGAUGGUUCGAUUCCAUCCCGGGGCA
Rhamnusium bicolor is the source of this 79-nucleotide non-coding RNA. Lineage: Eukaryota; Metazoa; Arthropoda; Insecta; Coleoptera; Cerambycidae. The record is from the annotation of a GenBank genome assembly.